Molecule: ribosomal RNA, 510 nt
Filed under: uncultured bacterium
Lineage: Bacteria
Description: bacterial SSU rRNA
Rfam family: Bacterial small subunit ribosomal RNA
Source: RNAcentral
GGCAGAGAUGCCUUGGUGCCUUCGGGAACGCUGAGACAGGUGCUGCAUGGCUGUCGUCAGCUCGUGUUGUGAAAUGUUGGGUUAAGUCCCGCAACGAGCGCAACCCUUAUCCUUUGUUGCCAGCGAUUCGGUCGGGAACUCAAAGGAGACUGCCGGUGAUAAACCGGAGGAAGGUGGGGAUGACGUCAAGUCAUCAUGGCCCUUACGAGUAGGGCUACACACGUGCUACAAUGGCGCAUACAAAGAGAAGCGACCUCGCGAGAGCAAGCGGACCUCAUAAAGUGCGUCGUAGUCCGGAUCGGAGUCUGCAACUCGACUCCGUGAAGUCGGAAUCGCUAGUAAUCGUGGAUCAGAAUGCCACGGUGAAUACGUUCCCGGGCCUUGUACACACCGCCCGUCACACCAUGGGAGUGGGUUGCAAAAGAAGUAGGUAGCUUAACCUCCGGGAGGGCGCUUACCACUUUGUGAUUCAUGACUGGGGUGAAGUCGUAACAAGGUAGGCGUAGCGAG